AGUUGGAUAAGGGAGGAGGAGAGAUGGGUUACAAGAACCAGAAGGAGAAGCAUCAUAAAUGCCUUCUAUCUGUGACUUCAUGGACUACCCAAUUCACAUCUCUACAAAACAAGAGAGAAUUUAGCAAAUGAAUAUGCUAUAGUUUUGUUGUGUUUAUUUCCUUAAUAGAGUGCAGAGAUGAGUGUUUUACGAUGCAAAUCUUUUAUUCAAUACAAGAUCUAAAUUUGAAAAUUAUAUA
This 238-nucleotide unclassified non-coding RNA is filed under the name Hevea brasiliensis (rubber tree). The record is from RNAcentral. Lineage: Eukaryota; Viridiplantae; Streptophyta; Magnoliopsida; Malpighiales; Euphorbiaceae.